Molecule: ribosomal RNA, 429 nt
Filed under: Chloroflexota bacterium
Lineage: Bacteria; Bacillati; Chloroflexota
Description: Chloroflexi bacterium partial 16S ribosomal RNA
Rfam family: Bacterial small subunit ribosomal RNA
Source: RNAcentral
UGGGGAAUAUUGCACAAUGGGCGCAAGCCUGAUGCAGCCAUGCCGCGUGUAUGAAGAAGGCCUUCGGGUUGUAAAGUACUUUCAGUCGGGAGGAAGGUGUCAAGGUUAAUAACCUUGGCAAUUGACGUUACCGACAGAAGAAGCACCGGCUAACUCCGUGCCAGCAGCCGCGGUAAUACGGAGGGUGCAAGCGUUAAUCGGAAUUACUGGGCGUAAAGCGCACGCAGGCGGUUGAUUGAGUCAGAUGUGAAAUCCCCGGGCUUAACCCGGGAAUUGCAUCUGAGACUGGUCAGCUAGAGUCUUGUAGAGGGGGGUAGAAUUCCAUGGGUAGCGGUGAAAUGCGUAGAGAUGUGGAGGAAUACCGGUGGCGAAAGCGGCCCCCUGGACAAAGACUGACGCUCAGGUGCGAAAGCGUGGGGAGCAAACAGG